RNAcentral lists this unclassified non-coding RNA (1126 nucleotides) under Hevea brasiliensis (rubber tree). The record is from RNAcentral. Lineage: Eukaryota; Viridiplantae; Streptophyta; Magnoliopsida; Malpighiales; Euphorbiaceae.
AACUUGAGCUACAAAACUCCAAAUUGAGUGAUUCAAAAAAGAAAUUAAAGACACAUAAAGGAACAACGUUGAUGAAGAAAAUUUUGCCAAAUUUUCACUGUAACAAUGACCAAUGGAAUAGUAAACUUAAGGUAUGAAAUUUGAAAAUUUUGAAUAACAUAAAAUAAGCUUUGAAAUGGUAUUGGAAAUCAAUGCCAAUAAAAAUAAAAUGCAAAAUGUGGUAUUUUGGUGAAUUUAGGCUUAACAAAUCUAUUAUGAAUUAAAAAGUCAACUUUUGUGUAGGAAUGGCCAAGUGAAUAGUAACAACCAAAAUUAAUGGAGUGAAAGGUACCCCACUUAAAUGAUUUAAUGAAUGUUUAAAUUAUGUAAAUGUGUAGAUGAGGGUUGUAUUUUCAUCACAAGUAGAACUUAGGGGAUAUUGUUAAUUUAAUUUGAAAUGUGAUUUAUAAAUUACUAUAAAUGAAAUAUUAAAGAUGUAAAGGAUGUGUAAAUAAUAUUUGAGACUUAGGUUUCUUUUAUGAAUACAAAUGAAAAUACUUGAAUCUAUGUACAUAUAAAUGAAAUUACUUGAACCUAGACACCUGUAAAUUGACGUAAUAAAUUAGCUAAAUGAUAAAUAGAUAGUGAGGUUGAUAUCUAUAAAAUGUUUAUGGAUUACUUGAUAAUUUAUAUAUAAAUAGUGUAAUGAAUAAAUGAAUUAUGUUAAUGUGUGAAUGAGACAUUAGUUUUCAUUAUUGUAGAAAGGAAAAGUAUUUUGAGUACAAUGGUAUAUGAGAACUAUUGUUGUGAAAUGUGAUCAACACAAAUGAUAUAAUGAAUAAAUAUAUGAUUAUGAUGAAGGUAAAAUUUAUGUAGAAAUGUAUUUUAAAAAUUUAUACUUCUGUUAGGAAUAGAAUUGAAAUGUUAUAAAUUAUAAUUGGAAUUUGUCAUGAAAUAAUGAAGUAAAAAAAAAUAAUAUAUUAACAUUUAAUGAUACUAUGUGCCCAUGUAUUGUCUAGACACGUGUGUCAGAAUAGAUAAAUUGAUAUGCCAAUAGGAUAUUAUUUUAGCAGUAUUGUGUUAGGCUUUAUGCCCGCACUCAUGGCUUUUAUGCCCGAUUAUAUGUUAUCAUGGCUUUUUAGCCAUA